CCUACGGGUGGCAGCAGUGGGGAAUAUUGCACAAUGGGCGAAAGCCUGAUGCAGCAACGCCGCGUGAAGGAAGAAGGGUUUCGGCUCGUAAACUUCUAUCAGCAGGGAAGAAAAUGACGGUACCUGAAGAAGAAGCCCCGGCUAACUACGUGCCCGAAGCCGCGGUAAUACGUAGGGGGCAAGCGUGAUCCGGAUUUACUGGGUGUAAAGGGGGCGUAGACGGCGAUGCAAGCCAGGAGUGAAAGCCCGGGGCCCAACCCCGGGACUGCUCUUGGAACUGCGUGGCUGGAGUGCAGGAGGGGUAGGUGGAAUUCCUGGUGUAGCGGUGAAAUGCGGAGAUAUUAGGAGGAACACCGGUGGCGAAGGCGGCCUGCUGGACUGCAACUGACGUUGAGGCCCGAAAGCGUGGGGAGCAAACAGGAUUAGAUACCCUGGUAGUC
RNAcentral lists this ribosomal RNA (440 nucleotides) under uncultured bacterium. RNAcentral's name for it is "partial 16S ribosomal RNA". It matches the Rfam family "Bacterial small subunit ribosomal RNA", at positions 338 to 795 of the family's 1533-position model. The record is from RNAcentral.